GGCGGCAUAGCUCAGUUGGCUAGAGCAUUCGGUUCAUACCCGGAGGGUCACUGGUUCAAAUCCAGUUGCCGCUACCA
Molecule: transfer RNA, 77 nt
Filed under: Oscillospiraceae bacterium
Lineage: Bacteria; Bacillati; Bacillota; Clostridia; Eubacteriales; Oscillospiraceae
Description: tRNA-Met
Rfam family: tRNA
About the family: Transfer RNA (tRNA) molecules are approximately 80 nucleotides in length. Their secondary structure includes four short double-helical elements and three loops (D, anti-codon, and T loops).
Source: RNAcentral